Molecule: ribosomal RNA, 1328 nt
Rfam family: Bacterial large subunit ribosomal RNA
AAUCGUACCCCAAACCGACACAGGUGGUCAGGUAGAGAAUACCAAGGCGCUUGAGAGAACUCGGGUGAAGGAACUAGGCAAAAUGGUGCCGUAACUUCGGGAGAAGGCACGCUGGCAUGUAGGUGAAGUCCCUUGCGGAUGGAGCUGAAGCCAGUCGAAGAUACCAGCUGGCUGCAACUGUUUAAUAAAAACACAGCACUGUGCAAACACGAAAGUGGACGUAUACGGUGUGACGCCUGCCCGGUGCUGGAAGGUUAAUUGAUGGGGUCAGCCGCAAGGCGAAGCUCUUGAUCGAAGCCCCAGUAAACGGCGGCCGUAACUAUAACGGUCCUAAGGUAGCGAAAUUCCUUGUCGGGUAAGUUCCGACCUGCACGAAUGGCGUAAUGAUGGCCAGGCUGUCUCCACCCGAGACUCAGUGAAAUUGAACUCGCUGUGAAGAUGCAGUGUACCCGCGGCAAGACGGAAAGACCCCGUGAACCUUUACUAUAGCUUGACACUGAACAUUGAGCCUUGAUGUGUAGGAUAGGUGGGAGGCUUUGAAGCGUGGACGCCAGUCUGCGUGGAGCCAUCCUUGAAAUACCACCCUUUAAUGUUUGAUGUUCUAACUCGGCCCCAUAAUCUGGGGUGAGGACAGUGUCUGGUGGGUAGUUUGACUGGGGCGGUCUCCUCCCAAAGAGUAACGGAGGAGCACGAAGGUUAGCUAAUCACGGUCGGACAUCGUGAGGUUAGUGCAAAGGCAUAAGCUAGCUUGACUGCGAGAGUGACGGCUCGAGCAGGUACGAAAGUAGGUCUUAGUGAUCCGGUGGUUCUGAAUGGAAGGGCCAUCGCUCAACGGAUAAAAGGUACUCCGGGGAUAACAGGCUGAUACCGCCCAAGAGUUCAUAUCGACGGCGGUGUUUGGCACCUCGAUGUCGGCUCAUCACAUCCUGGGGCUGAAGUAGGUCCCAAGGGUAUGGCUGUUCGCCAUUUAAAGUGGUACGCGAGCUGGGUUUAGAACGUCGUGAGACAGUUCGGUCCCUAUCUGCCGUGGGCGUUGGAAGAUUGAGAGGGGUUGCUCCUAGUACGAGAGGACCGGAGUGAACGCACCACUGGUGUUCGGGUUGUCAUGCCAAUGGCAUUGCCCGGUAGCUAAGUGCGGAAAAGAUAAGCGCUGAAAGCAUCUAAGCGCGAAACUUGCCUCAAGAUGAGUCUUCCCUGGGCCUUUAAGGCCCCUGAAGGAACGUUUAAGACUAAGACGUUGAUAGGCUGGGUGUGUAAGUGCAGCGAUGCAUUGAGCUAACCAGUACUAAUGAUCCGUGAGGCUUAACCUUACAACACCGAAGGUGUUU